UACGUAGGGUGCAAGCGUUGUUCGGAAUCACUGGGCUUAAAGGGCGCGUAGGCGGGUUCGCAAGUCUGUGGUGAAAUCCUCCGGCUCAACCGGAGAACUGCCUCGGAUACUGCGGGUCUCGAGGGUGAUAGGGGUAUGCGGAACUAUCGGUGGAGCGGUGAAAUGCGUUGAUAUCGAUAGGAACUCCGGUGGCGAAGGCGGCAUACUGGAUCACUUCUGACGCUGAGGCGCGAAAGCCAGGGGAGCAAACGGG
Molecule: ribosomal RNA, 253 nt
Filed under: uncultured bacterium
Lineage: Bacteria
Description: partial 16S ribosomal RNA
Rfam family: Bacterial small subunit ribosomal RNA
Source: RNAcentral